This 424-nucleotide ribosomal RNA is filed under the name Verrucomicrobiota bacterium. RNAcentral describes it as "Verrucomicrobia bacterium partial 16S ribosomal RNA". It matches the Rfam family "Bacterial small subunit ribosomal RNA", at positions 355 to 776 of the family's 1533-position model. Lineage: Bacteria; Pseudomonadati; Verrucomicrobiota. The record is from RNAcentral.
UGAGGAAUAUUGGUCAAUGGACGCAAGUCUGAACCAGCCAAGUAGCGUGCAGGAUGACGGCCCUAUGGGUUGUAAACUGCUUUUAUAUGGGGAUAAAGUGGGGAACGUGUUCCCUUUUGCAGGUACCAUAUGAAUAAGGACCGGCUAAUUCCGUGCCAGCAGCCGCGGUAAUACGGAAGGUUCGGGCGUUAUCCGGUUUUAUUGGGUUUAAAGGGAGCGUAGGCCGUUUGGUAAGCGUGUUGUGAAAUGUAGGAGCUCAACUUCUAGAUUGCAGCGCGAACUGUGAGACUUGAGUGCGCACAACGUAGGCGGAAUUCAUGGUGUAGCGGUGAAAUGCUUAGAUAUCAUGAAGAACUCCGAUUGCGAAGGCAGCUUACGGGAGCGCAACUGACGCUGAAGCUCGAAGGUGCGGGUAUCGAACAGG